RNAcentral lists this transfer RNA (84 nucleotides) under Flavobacteriaceae bacterium UJ101. It matches the Rfam family "tRNA". Rfam says of the family: Transfer RNA (tRNA) molecules are approximately 80 nucleotides in length. Lineage: Bacteria; Pseudomonadati; Bacteroidota; Flavobacteriia; Flavobacteriales; Flavobacteriaceae. The record is from Rfam by way of RNAcentral.
GCUCACGUGGUGGAAUUGGUAGACACGCCAUCUUGAGGGGGUGGUGCGCUUAUGCGUGUGCUGGUUCGAAUCCAGUCGUGAGCA